This 727-nucleotide ribosomal RNA is filed under the name uncultured Bacteroides sp. RNAcentral's name for it is "bacterial SSU rRNA". It matches the Rfam family "Bacterial small subunit ribosomal RNA", at positions 446 to 1177 of the family's 1533-position model. The record is from RNAcentral. Lineage: Bacteria; Pseudomonadati; Bacteroidota; Bacteroidia; Bacteroidales; Bacteroidaceae.
AUAAAGUGAGGGACGUGUCCCUUUUUGUAUGUACCUUAUGAAUAAGGAUCGGCUAACUCCGUGCCAGCAGCCGCGGUAAUACGGAGGAUCCGAGCGUUAUCCGGAUUUAUUGGGUUUAAAGGGAGCGUAGGUUGACGUAUAAGUCAGCUGUGAAAGUUUACGGCUCAACCGUGAAAUUGCAGUUGAUACUGUAUGUCUUGAGUGUACAAGAGGUGGGCGGAAUUCGUGGUGUAGCGGUGAAAUGCUUAGAUAUCACGAAGAACUCCAAUUGCGAAGGCAGCUCACUGGGGUACAACUGACACUGAGGCUCGAAAGUGUGGGUAUCAAACAGGAUUAGAUACCCUGGUAGUCCACACAGUAAACGAUGAAUACUCGCUGUUUGCGAUAUACAGUAAGCGGCCAAGCGAAAGCAUUAAGUAUUCCACCUGGGGAGUACGCCGGCAACGGUGAAACUCAAAGGAAUUGACGGGGGCCCGCACAAGCGGAGGAACAUGUGGUUUAAUUCGAUGAUACGCGAGGAACCUUACCCGGGCUUGAGUUGCAGAGGAACAUAGUUGAAAGAUUAUGGCCGCAAGGUCUCUGUGAAGGUGCUGCAUGGUUGUCGUCAGCUCGUGCCGUGAGGUGUCGGCUUAAGUGCCAUAACGAGCGCAACCCUUAUCAUUAGUUACUAACAGGUCAUGCUGAGGACUCUAGUGAGACUGCCGUCGUAAGAUGUGAGGAAGGUGGA